UUUGAAGGCUUUAGGUGUUA
RNAcentral lists this non-coding RNA (20 nucleotides) under Arabidopsis thaliana (thale cress). The record is from RNAcentral. Lineage: Eukaryota; Viridiplantae; Streptophyta; Magnoliopsida; Brassicales; Brassicaceae.